GGACCAAUUACUCAAGACAAAGCUGCAUGGUUAAGUUUAUUAUUUAUAUUUAUUGUUUAUAAGAUUAUUUUUAAUGUACAGGUUGGCAAGAAAUCAGCUCCCUCAAAUACCUCUGCACUAAACUAUCCAGUCUAGCCACAUCCUGAUAGAACAAAUAUGAAGAGUCUAAAAUAAAUGUAAUUUUUGACACUGAACGCAUCUGCGGAAUGGCAUUUCUUUGGGCCAGCAAUUCAGGAGCAGUUUCUGUUCCUCCUCCCCUCAUACACACUUCUUGGGGGCAGCAGGAAAAGCAGAAACAGUUGCUGUGAAACUUGAGAGAAUAUGGAUGGCACUCCUAAAUUAAAAUGAUGUUAUUCCCUUCGCAGGCUGUGCAAGGUGCUGUUCAACCUGGUGAAUUCUUGAAGGCAACGCUCAAUCCUCUCUCCAUGCUGAAUAAGGUCAGCCACAUUUCAUGGGACAAGAAUUGUUCCUUCCACACCAGUAGAGUGUUCGACUUGGCCAAAACCUCUGAUCACUACAAAAACAUUAAUGUAAGUGUUGCUUGCAGCUCGUUUGCUUGGAUUUGAAACCCAAGGCUUUGUUGUAGGCACUUCUGUGUUCCUCCCAACAGUCAGGAGAGGUGGGUGACUCAGCGUUCCUCCCAGACAGACUAUGGUCAGCCCCUUUCCAGAAAUAACCAGGAGUAAAUGACUUCUAGUUUUAGUUCCUGAAAUUUAAAAAACAUUUAUGAGGCUUUUACAGUGUGCUAUUUCAAAGAAACCUCUAUAAUUAUACAACAUUUUCCGGACAAUGGAGCAAAAGAAAAAAGUAAUCUUUUUCUCACCAUGAGAUUCAACAUUUUGUUGUUUCCAAUGCCAUUUCUAGCAAUGACUGAAGGAAGAUAAUUUUGGAGGUAAUUCACAUUUCAUUACCACUUUCUCACAGAUUUACUGGCCAGGAGAAGAGUGACUUAGAGAAACCAAGAAAACACAAAGUUGUUGUUUGACUCCUAUCUCACAGAAAUUCCAUUUGUUCCCUCAACUGAUUCAAAUCUCACUUUCCAUUUGUAUUUGAUUUUGUCCCACACCUCUGUCACCCUUCAGACCCAUUCCCUUUUGGUUUAUCUCAUGCCAGUGGUGUCACACCCAGUCCUACAGGACAUUUGGUCAGGCCAUGAGAUAUUCCCCUAAGGACAGGGGUUUAAUUGAAUUUUGUUGCCUAAAUCAUCCCUCUCAUGGCUGGGUGCAUGGGAAGAGCUGAUGAUAAAUUUCUCUGUCCUCAGCUCUCUUGAAAACUGCUCAGUCACCACUGAAGAUCUGCUGUGGUGUCACAGGGGAGGUGAUCAGGUGUCCUGCACAUUUUACCAGUCACAACUCCCUUUUCCAUUGGAGAUCAUUCCUUUUAUUGGUGUGUAAAAUCAAAGGAAUGAUCUCCUAUGGAGGAGCACAUCAGCAGCACAUCAUUUUACAUCCUCACCCAAAAGAGAAGGCAGCAAACACACCCUUGUUUCCAAUUUUGGCCCAAAAAUAAAUGGUACCCACAGCAAUGGCA
RNAcentral lists this long non-coding RNA (1530 nucleotides) under Zonotrichia albicollis (white-throated sparrow). RNAcentral describes it as "lncRNA (ENSZALG00000012752.1)". The record is from RNAcentral. Lineage: Eukaryota; Metazoa; Chordata; Aves; Passeriformes; Passerellidae.